CUUGGUCAUUUAGAGGAAGUAAAAGUCAUAACAAGGUUUCCGUAGGUGAACCUGCGGAAGGAUCAUUAAUAGUGCCCAUUGAUGCAAAUCAUUGGGUUAGAUCUGCCCUUAUCGCAAGAUGAGGGCUUCCAUAUACACCGUGAACUGUGGCUUCGGCCAUCACAAACUGUUAGUAAUGAAUGUAAUAUCAUAACAAAAACAAAACUUUUAACAACGGAUCUCUUGGCUCUCGCAUCGAUGAAGAACGCAGCGAAAUGCGAUAAGUAAUGUGAAUUGCAGAAUUCAGUGAAUCAUCGAAUCUUUGAACGCACCUUGCGCCCUUUGGUAUUCCGAAGGGCAUGCCUGUUUGAGUGUCAUGAAACCUCACCCCACUUAGGUUUUUGCCUAAGCGGUGGUGUAUUGGGUGUUUGCCUUGCUAAAGGCUCGCCUUAAAGAUAUAAGCACCUUGGAUGUAAUACGUUUCAUCCUUCUGGGUGGCUGAUAACCCCACAUAUUCAUGAUCUGGCCUCAAAUCAGGUAGGGCUACCCGCUGAACUUAAGCAUAUCAAUAAGCGGAGGAAAAGAAACUAACUAGGAUUCCCUUAGUAACGGCGAGUGAACCGGGAUGAGCUCAAAUUUAAAAUCUGGCGUCUUUCAGGCGUCCGAGUUGUAAUCUAUAGAGGCGUUUUCCGCGCCGGACCGCGUCCAAGUCUCUUGGAAUAGAGUAUCAAAGAGGGUGACAGUCCCGUACUUGACGCGACAACCGGUGCUCUGUGAUACGUUCUCAAUGAGUCGAGUUGUUUGGGAAU
Molecule: small RNA, 788 nt
Filed under: uncultured Cryptococcus
Lineage: Eukaryota; Fungi; Basidiomycota; Tremellomycetes
Description: eukaryotic LSU rRNA
Rfam family: Eukaryotic large subunit ribosomal RNA (bases 503-788)
Source: RNAcentral